UGCCGCCGCACACACAGGGCAGCCUCCGACCCUGGCACUGCACCGCGGCGGGACUGAUGUGGCACACUGAGGGAACACCGACAGACAAACAUCUCUCGAGGACACCAGAGCUACUGGCAGUAUCGAACAGGGAGCGUAUUGACUUCUUUCCGAUAAGAAAACUUGAUUUCAGUGGACUCUCAUCCCUUAAAAACAGAAAUAUAAGUGUUUGAGUGGAAUAAACAUUUGCCACAGGCUACCAUGCUUUAAUAAAGUUACAAGUCAAGAGAAACUAAAGGAUUUCCCACUAACCUACUGUGCUCACUAUUUGCAAGCAUUGUUACUCAGAUCCCACAGGUCUGAGAAACUCAAUCAUUGUCAGCCUCUUCCUACUGUGUCACCACGAGAAGAAACUUCAAGAGGAAGCUGACAAAAGGGUUGAUGUACGUCCGGCAGGAACGGCAUCUCACAAUAAUACUGGAAGUGACCACUGGCAGUUGCUGGAAAAGAAAAGCUUCCUGUUCUAAAGCAUCCUUGUUGAAAGAAGGAGUACUUCUGCAUUCUCACAGCAUCCCUGCAAUUUCUUAAUAUGACAGCUGAUUUUUGCAGAAACUGUGCGCUAGGUGGUCCUGCUACCGCUGUUGAUGGCCUAGCACACAGAACAGAUAAUGUCGGCUUUACGAGAACGGCAAGCAAAGAAAGCACCGCAGCGCCGCAGGCUGAGCUCAGCGAUAACCACAGUGCCACAUGUACAGCCCCGUUCCAAAGGGUCAAACCUCGGCUGUGUCACCCGUGCCACCGGCAGGGACCCGCCCGGGCUAAGGGACGGUCCGGGGCAGCUCGAGCCGUGCGUGUUACCCCGGCAGCACAGACACGGGCUCUCUGAAAGACGCUGGCGUUCAUACCGACAGACAAAUGUACUCAGAGAUACUUCUGACAUGAGAAAAAAUCAGAAUGAAGAUUUAUUUUGCCUAAUGAGACGCUCUGUGUUUUCUUCAGUGACACUUGGGGCAGCAGCUCAUCCCCACUCCCACCGUCCCACGGCGCUCCCGGGGUCACAGCAGGAGCCCGGCUCCGCUGCCGCUCCUCUCCUACUUUCCUCCCUAAUUUA
Ficedula albicollis (Collared flycatcher) is the source of this 1090-nucleotide long non-coding RNA. RefSeq lists it as uncharacterized. The transcript has 6 exons. The record is from RefSeq and is a predicted model, not a curated record. Lineage: Eukaryota; Metazoa; Chordata; Aves; Passeriformes; Muscicapidae.